RNAcentral lists this ribosomal RNA (362 nucleotides) under uncultured bacterium. RNAcentral describes it as "bacterial SSU rRNA". It matches the Rfam family "Bacterial small subunit ribosomal RNA", at positions 29 to 419 of the family's 1533-position model. The record is from RNAcentral.
AACGAACGCUGGCGGCAUGCCUAACACAUGCAAGUCGAACGAGACCUUCGGGUCUAGUGGCGCACGGGUGCGUAACGCGUGGGAAUCUGCCCUUAGGUACGGAUAACUCAGGGAAACUUGAGCUAAUACCGUAUAAUGACUUCGGUCCAAAGAUUUAUCGCCUAAGGAUGAGCCCGCGUCGGAUUAGCUAGUUGGUUGAGGUAAAAGCUCACCAAGGCGACGAUCCGUAGCUGGCUGAGAGGAUGAUCAGCCACACUGGGACUGAGACACGGCCCAGACUCCUACGGGAGGCAGCAGUGGGGAAUAUUGGACAAUGGGCGAAAGCCUGAUCCAGCAAUGCCGCGUGAGUGAUGAAGGCCUUA